Molecule: long non-coding RNA, 497 nt
Filed under: Homo sapiens (human)
Lineage: Eukaryota; Metazoa; Chordata; Mammalia; Primates; Hominidae
Description: HSALNT0054067
Source: RNAcentral
AAAAGUAGCAAAACCAGCUGAGGCUUAAUAAGAGGAGGUGGAGUAGGGAUCCAAAGGGCAGAACCACUCCUCACUGCCCACUCCCCACCAUAUCCUGGGCCCUCUUCUGGAGGGGAUGGGUGGAUAAGGGGAAGUGAAUGGUGGCUGGAUCUUCGGUUUUCUUCCCCAGAACAGAGCAGGCUGAGCCCAGCAACCCCAGGAAGCCCACAAAGGGAAAGAUAUAUGAGAUGGGGGUAGGGGAGCACCGGAGCAGUCUCCGAGAGUGCAGGCUAUGGAGACAGCACUCACACCACAGAACAGCCCUCAGCUUGGGGGCCCAGGACCUGGACCACAUCUUCCUGGCCCAUGGCAACCAGGGCAUUCUCUAGCACCUUGUGGGUGGCACCACUGUCUUCUUGGAUAGCCCAGUCCCUCAGCAGUGUGUAGGCUCACACCUGGCCUUGGGCCAUGAUUUCUACAGCCUCAGCUUGGUAGCCCAGAUGGUCUGCCAGUCCCCG